This 460-nucleotide ribosomal RNA is filed under the name uncultured bacterium. Its description in RNAcentral is "partial 16S ribosomal RNA". It matches the Rfam family "Bacterial small subunit ribosomal RNA", at positions 338 to 795 of the family's 1533-position model. The record is from RNAcentral.
CCUACGGGAGGCAGCAGUGAGGAAUAUUGGUCAAUGGGCGCGAGCCUGAACCAGCCAAGUCGCGUGAGGGAGGACGGCCCUACGGUUUGUAAACCUCUUUUGCCGGGGAGCAACGGGCGCCACGUGUGGCGUCACUGAGAGUACCCGGAGAAAAAGCAUCGGCUAACUCCGUGCCAGCAGCCGCGGUAAUACGGGGGAUGCGAGCGUUCUCCGGUUUUAUUGGGUUGAAAGGAUGCGUAGGCGGAUCGUAAAGUCGGUGGGCAAGUUGAGGGGCUAAACCCCUUCCCGCCAUUGAAACUGGCGUUCUUGAGUGGAAGAGAGGAAGGCGGAAUGCGUGGUGUAGCGGUGAAAUGCAUAGAUAUCACGCAGAACCCCGAUGGCGAAGGCAGCAUGCCGGCUUCCGACUGACGCUGAGGCACGAAAGCGUGGGGAGCGAACAGGAUUAGAUACCCCUGUAGUC